Tribolium castaneum (red flour beetle) is the source of this 2982-nucleotide RNA transcript. RefSeq lists it as uncharacterized. NCBI's taxonomy places the organism in Eukaryota, Metazoa, Arthropoda, Insecta, Coleoptera, Tenebrionidae. The record is from RefSeq and is a predicted model, not a curated record. The transcript has 2 exons.
ACCAAACAAUAUCUUCUUGGGUUAUAGUCGCAAAGAAAAAAAAUGAGAAAAUGAACCCGAUUUUAAAAAAUUCAAGCAAAAGUAAUAAACGUGUCUAAAGUAUAAAUCAUCCACUCUAUGAGUGACGUUUUGAUUUUUGUACAAUUAUUAUAACUGCUCAUGUGUCUUUUUUAGAGUUUCCUUUAACUUACGAUAAAGUUGCGAGAAUUUAUUUUGUUUUAUUUUUCGUUUUUACCCCGCGGUCACUAGGUACUAGUUUCCCAUAAGAAUUUAAUAAUCGUGUAAAUCCCAUUUCACUUCAUAGUAGAAUUUUUUGACAGGUAAUUUAAAUUUUUUGGAGUGAAAUAAAGUAUAAAUUGAGAGUGUGUGUGUUUGUGUUAAAAACUAAAUCCCAGCGACAAAUUUUGAGCCAAGGAAACCUACCCGAAACUCCAAAAAAUGUUGUUGCAAAAUUCUGCAAUGAAUUGAAAUGGCAUAUAUAGUCUUAUUUCUGAUAAAAUGUGAAUGUAAUGUUAAAAUUAUGUGCAAAUUCAUUGAAGCUUAUUCAGGUAUUUACCUACGCACUGAUAAACUGAUAAGAGUGAAAGUUAUAUUGGGGUGAUGUGGUCAAAAUUCCUUCAGGGUAGAUAAUAAAGGGGUCAUAAUCCGCAGGUGGUUCUUCGAUAUUAAUAAUGUGACUAGACUGUGAACUGUAAUUACGGGUAUUUACACCACACAAGAAGUUAGAGUUUGCAGAAAAACAUCUAAUAAUUUUUUAAGAACAUUUUCUCAAUCGACAAUGAACUACUUAGUGCUCUUAAUUAAAUACAAAUAGCUCUCUCCACUUUGGAAAAUUUUAACAUUAAUAAAUUUCUUUGGCGCACACAUUCAUUUAUUUUGCAAGAUACAUCGAAACAAAGUAAACAAAUUACGAGUCCAGGUUUGAGUUACGUUAGUUUUUUAACUUCUAUCUCUUUCCUUGAGUCUGAACUGUAAAUCUACACGUAAAGAGGAAUUAAAAAGAAGCAAACACAAAUAAGAGGAAUAAUAAAAUGUUGCAAAAACAUCAUUCAUCUACGUAUUUCUUUUCAUUUACUUAUUUUUUCUUUCAACAAAAUUUUUAAAUUGUGAUUAGCAUAAAAAUGACAUUAUAACUUAUUGAAUUAUGUUUGUAAACAAAACAUGGUACAGAAACUAAUAAGAAAAAAUGGACAACGUUUUAGAGAAUUUAAAGUAAUUCAAACAAAAGCAAUAAAAUAUAAAUAACGUAUUGAUUUAUGCACAAUUAUUACAACAGUUCAUGUCUUAUUUCUAAAAAAGUAUGUAUUAAUGUAAUCUUAAAAUUAUGUAUAAAUGCAUUUUAGCUAACUUAGGUACCUGUAAACUGAUAAAAGACAAAGUUAUAUUGGGGUGAUAAGAUAAUGCUCAAAAUUCCUUCAGAAGAGAUUAUAAGGGUAUCUUAAUCCGCAGGUGAUUUUUGGACUUUAUGAGACUAGAACUGUAAACUAUAAUUACGGGUAUUAGCACGAGACAAGAAGUCUUCGCUUUCUGAAAACUUUCUAAUAAUUUUCACAGAAAUUUUGUUGUUGCUAUCUACAAUAAAGAGUAGAAAAAACUAUUGUCAAUUUACAAACUCCUAUGCUUUUGAGUUAUAACACAAUUUGGGGCUUGAUUUACUUAUUAAUAAUAAUUAUAAUUAUUAGGUAUUCCAGAAGCAUUAUAAAAAACAUUGUUUCUAUUAAACAAAAUAUUUCCCUCUGUAAAAUUGUAAAAUUUCAUUUUAAACUUAAAGAAAUGAUAAGAUGCUAUGAGCCUAUAGGUACUGUACGUUUUAUAAUAAAAACGUUUGAUUUUCUGAUAAAUAACGUAAUUAUACAGAUCACAAUAUCCCAGAAACAAUAAUUUAAAAAAAAACACAAAGGUCUAUAGAAUAUUCUUUUGAAUUAGAAAUCCUACAAAAAUUACGAAGUAAUCUUUCAAUAUGCUAACACCAUUAUUAACUCAACUACACUGUACAAAAAAAAAAACACUUUUAUUAUCAAAAUUUAUUUUCGAAUUGGAGACUUAAUAAAUGAACAAUGGUAAUAUUCGAUGUCUAAAUGCCUGUCAUUAGUUCUAUAAAGCGGCAUUUUCUAAUUUUACAUAAAAAAUUCACAGACGACUAGACGAAAAUCUUUCUAACAAACAUUGUAGUUUUUUAUUAGGUUCCAAUUUUAUUUUCAUACUGUUUACUCCAUGUAUUAAUAAUUCCUUAUUUUUAAGAACUUUUCAGUAGUUGAGUAUUGUUUUUAGAAAGUUGCAAAAGCCCAAGCUCCACCCCUUACCUGAUUUUCUAAACCACUAUAAGUAAAAGAAAUAACAGCCCCAAAUUUCAUUUUUCCUGCUAGCUUUAAAGAAAAACAACUCAAAAAAUUUCCUCACUUAUUAUCGUAGCUGAUUGCGACCAAACCAUCUUCUAAACAAAAUGGCAGCUGUAAACAAAGCACAAAUAAUGGCGGCAAUGGAAUGCCCUGUGUGCUACGACAUUCUGCGCCCCCCAAUCCACCCCUGCAACCAAGGACACCCAAUUUGCGGAGACUGUCGGCAACAGAUGGAAAGGCUGAGCCAAAAUGUGUGCUGUCCGCUUUGUCGGAGCGGAUAUUCCUUGCCUCCAUCUCACAUUUUGGAGGCAAUCUACGACAGCCUGAGGGUCAGCUGUAGAUUUAAUGCUGGGGGGUGCAGACAUGUCUGCUGGGGCAAGGACAUGAAGAUCCACGAGCAAAAGUGCAAGUUUGGUCCAAGGACGUGCCCAAGGAGAAAUGAAGGUUGUUUGUGGAUUGGACCACUGACCAUGCUUGCUAAACAUUGCAUUGAAAAUCAUUGUCCAAGCGUAAAUUUAAAUUAGGUAGUGUAGUUGUUGUAAAUAGUGUAUAAAUAGUGAUAGAAAAUUGUAAAUAGUUGUAGUCUAGAGAUAAGUAAUUGUGUUUAGUUGACUUUUGUAAAAUAAAUUUUAUUUUGCAUUAA